This 301-nucleotide ribosomal RNA is filed under the name uncultured bacterium. RNAcentral describes it as "partial 16S ribosomal RNA". It matches the Rfam family "Bacterial small subunit ribosomal RNA", at positions 509 to 807 of the family's 1533-position model. The record is from RNAcentral.
CAGUCGCCGCGGUAAUACGUAGGUGGCAAGCGUUGUCCGGAAUUAUUGGGCGUAAAGGGCUCGCAGGCGGUUUCUUAAGUCUGAUGUGAAAGCCCCCGGCUCAACCGGGGAGGGUCAUUGGAAACUGGGAAACUUGAGUGCAGAAGAGGAGAGUGGAAUUCCACGUGUAGCGGUGAGAUGCGUAGAGAUGUGGAGGAACACCAGUGGCGAAGGCGACUCUCUGGUCUGUAACUGACGCUGAGGAGCGAAAGCGUGGGGAGCGAACAGGAUUAGAUACCCGGGUAGUCCCUGUCUCUUAUAC